UACGUAGGUGACGAGCGUUGUCCGGAUUUACUGGGCGUAAAGGGCGCGUAGGCGGCCUUCUAAGUCGGACGUGAAAUCCCUCGGCUUAACCGAGGAACUGCGUCCGAUACUGAAAGGCUUGAAUCCGGGAGAGGGAUGUGGAAUUCCUGGUGUAGCGGUGGAAUGCGCAGAUAUCAGGAGGAACACCAAUAGCGAAGGCAGCUCGCUGGGACGGUACUGACGCUGAGGCGCGAAAGCGUGGGGAGCGAACAGG
RNAcentral lists this ribosomal RNA (253 nucleotides) under uncultured bacterium. RNAcentral describes it as "partial 16S ribosomal RNA". It matches the Rfam family "Bacterial small subunit ribosomal RNA", at positions 524 to 776 of the family's 1533-position model. The record is from RNAcentral.